UGGGGGAUUUUGGACAAUGGGGGAAACCCUGAUCCAGCCAUCCCGCGUGUGCGAUGAAGGCCUUCGGGUUGUAAAGCACUUUUGGCAGGAAAGAAACGUCAUGGGUUAAUACCCCGUGAAACUGACGGUACCUGCAGAAUAAGCACCGGCUAACUACGUGCCAGCAGCCGCGGUAAUACGUAGGGUGCAAGCGUUAAUCGGAAUUACUGGGCGUAAAGCGUGCGCAGGCGGUUCGGAAAGAAAGAUGUGAAAUCCCAGAGCUCAACUUUGGAACUGCAUUUUUAACUACCGGGCUAGAGUGUGUCAGAGGGAGGUGGAAUUCCGCGUGUAGCAGUGAAAUGCGUAGAUAUGCGGAGGAACACCGAUGGCGAAGGCAGCCUCCUGGGAUAACACUGACGCUCAUGCACGAAAGCGUGGGGAGCAAACAGG
RNAcentral lists this ribosomal RNA (429 nucleotides) under Acidobacteriota bacterium. RNAcentral's name for it is "Acidobacteria bacterium partial 16S ribosomal RNA". It matches the Rfam family "Bacterial small subunit ribosomal RNA", at positions 355 to 776 of the family's 1533-position model. The record is from RNAcentral. Lineage: Bacteria; Pseudomonadati; Acidobacteriota.